Molecule: non-coding RNA, 73 nt
Organism: Araneus ventricosus
Lineage: Eukaryota; Metazoa; Arthropoda; Arachnida; Araneae; Araneidae
Source: the annotation of a GenBank genome assembly
AGCCACCAGUGUGGAUUGAACUCACAGUCCCUGAUUUACAAAACCAGACCACUAACGACUGAGCUAUGACGGC